AGCGAACGCUGGCGGCAUGCUUAACACAUGCAAGUCGAACGGAUCUUUCGGGAUCAUUGGCGGAUGGGUGAGUAACGCGUAGGGAUCUUUCCAUGGGUGUGGGACAACUCCGGGAAACUGGAGCUAAUACCGCAUGAUACCUGAGGGUCAAAGGCGCAAGUCGCCUGUGGAUGAACCUGCGUUCGAUUAGUUGGUUGGUGGGGUUAAGGCCUACCAAGGCGAUGAUCGAUAGCUGGUUUGAGAGGAUGAUCCGCCACACUGGGACUGAGACACGGCCCAGACUCCUACGGAAGGCAGCAGUGGUGAAUAUUGGACAAUGGGCGAAAGCCUGAUCCAGCAAUGCCGCGUGUGUGAAGAAGGUCGUCGGAUUGUAAAGCACUUUCGACGGGGACGAUGAUGACGGUACCCGUAGAAGAAGCCCCGGCUAACUUCGUG
Molecule: ribosomal RNA, 435 nt
Filed under: uncultured bacterium
Lineage: Bacteria
Description: partial 16S ribosomal RNA
Rfam family: Bacterial small subunit ribosomal RNA
Source: RNAcentral